RNAcentral lists this ribosomal RNA (438 nucleotides) under uncultured bacterium. Its description in RNAcentral is "bacterial SSU rRNA". It matches the Rfam family "Bacterial small subunit ribosomal RNA", at positions 43 to 524 of the family's 1533-position model. The record is from RNAcentral.
CAGGCCUAACACAUGCAAGUCGAACGAUACCUUUCGGGGUAUAGUGGCGCACGGGUGCGUAACGCGUGGGAAUCUGCCCUUGGGUUCGGGAUAACCGUUGGAAACGACGGCUAAUACCGGAUGAUGACGUUAAGUCCAAAGAUUUAUCGCCCAGGGAUGAGCCCGCGUAGGAUUAGCUAGUUGGUGGGGUAAAGGCCUACCAAGGCGACGAUCCUUAGCUGGUCUGAGAGGAUGAUCAGCCACACUGGGACUGAGACACGGCCCAGACUCCUACGGGAGGCAGCAGUGGGGAAUAUUGGACAAUGGGCGAAAGCCUGAUCCAGCAAUGCCGCGUGAGUGAUGAAGGCCUUAGGGUUGUAAAGCUCUUUUACCCGUGAUGAUAAUGACAGUAGCGGGAGAAUAAGCCCCGGCUAACUCCGUGCCAGCAGCCGCGGUAAU